CGAGAGGUUAGGAGAAGUGUCUCUUACUGUGUGUAGUUAAACAGACGAGAUUGGUUUGUUGAAGUGUUGCAGUCUGUACCAAUCGUUUGGUAUUAAACCACAUGCUGUGAAUCAAAGAGGCUCCGCCCUCUGAAAAGAUCCCAUAAUGUAAACGAGCGAUCAUUUUGUUAAUGACUGUCAUUUCGGAGCUGCAACGUCGCCAGCGGGCUUUCAUUCAGCUCCGAAUUUGAUUUUUAAUAAAACCUCGGUGGAGGUUAACUUCGUUUUAGCCGCACUCUUCGUAAGAAUUCUCUCCCCCGCGCAGAGCAUAAGACGGAAGGCACAGUGGACUAGAGGCACUGAGAAUCAGAGAAAAGAAGCAGUUUCGUGAAGGCGGGUUUAGAAAGCGAACGUUUCUCGCCUUAUCAAGUUUGAGUCAUGUUCGGCGUUCCGAUGCCUACGUUUCCAGCGGGUUCCCCUUGGAAAAUUGGAGGCUGGAUAACAGAGAGAUUGGCAGAUUUCGGUGGAAAGACACUUACCUCUUCGCGUUCACCGAAAAGAGGCAUUUGACAGUUUCACUGGCAGAGAGUUUCUAGCACAAGGAAGUUUACACAAGAAAUUUAACAUUAGCGGAGACUUGGCAAGUUCUGAUGUUAGUGCCUCAGGGCUGUUUAUUUUUGCAAAAGUAAAGUAUUCAUCAAGGCAUCUGCAGAUACAAUUUUAAACAGUGAGAAAAUAAAAGAGUUAGGGUUCAGAAUUCA
Molecule: unclassified non-coding RNA, 740 nt
Filed under: Pocillopora damicornis (cauliflower coral)
Lineage: Eukaryota; Metazoa; Cnidaria; Anthozoa; Scleractinia; Pocilloporidae
Description: transcription factor Sp5-like, transcript variant X3
Source: RNAcentral